AAAUCUGUUUUAUAUUAAAUCUAAGUGCCUAAAUCCAAGACAGGCCCGAUGGACAUUGUUUUUUUUACCCAAUUUAAUUUUGUUAUAACAUACAGGCCUGGGGAAAAGAACAUUAAAUCAAAUGCCCUUUCUAGAAGUUUUGUCUCCAGUCCAAAAGAAGAAUCUGAACCGGAUUAUAUUUUGGGUCAAUCCACUGAGGUUCCUGCUGUGAAUUAUUUGAUUAUCACCUCUCUAAGAUUUGGAGAAAGGUUGAAAAUUAAUUGUCCUAUGCAGUUGCUGCUCGAAAGAGGGCUUCUGACAGACAUUUUUAUUCUACCAAAAGGAUCCAAUCCUUUGAUGUGGUUGGUGCUACAUCCUUUGGAAUGAAUGCGUUUGCUGCUUGCAUUAAGAACAGCAGUUCUAUUGUAAAACUCGACUGAGAUGUAUCUCUUUGAAGUAGAGGUUUGCAGAAAGCAGGUUAUGUUCUGCAUGUGCCAAUCCAUAUACUGCGCUGUGCACUUGGUGAUUGGGAUAAUAUGUCUGAAGUGACAAUUGUGAAUGUGAACAGUUCAUUAAAGAGAGUGCCAAUGAAGUCAACACAGGCACCAUGUUGGGUGAUCUCAUUCCUGAGGUUUUUACUCUCUCUUUCAGCAUGAUCAUCAUCAACUGCCAGAAUAAUCACCCAGGUCCAUCCCAAAUGUUCUACCAGUUCUGCUAUAGCAAUGUGCUGAAUAUGAAUAUUUGAGCCAGUACUAAAAUAAUAUGGGUACAGUGUUCUGUCAUUCAAAACAGGGUCUGUGAAACCAUAACUGAUCUGAAAACACAAAAAUAAAGCUUUCAAAAGUGA
Xenopus laevis (African clawed frog) is the source of this 826-nucleotide long non-coding RNA. RefSeq lists it as uncharacterized. NCBI's taxonomy places the organism in Eukaryota, Metazoa, Chordata, Amphibia, Anura, Pipidae. The record is from RefSeq and is a predicted model, not a curated record. The transcript has 6 exons.